CGUGUGUCCAGCAGCCUGGGGCACCCAGCCUUGUCUGUGGCCAGCAGGCUGCCCAGGCUGCCAGCCCCGGUUCCAUCCCUGUCCGCAGUGAACUGCGGGCGGCCCGAGGCGGAUUUUAACUCGGUGGUGCACGGGAACGACUGGUGGGUGGGCUCCGUGGUGCGCUACAGCUGCCGGCCCGGCUUCCUGCUGCUGGGGGACCCUGCCAGCGCCUGCCAGCCCGAUGGCCGCUGGACCCCCAAGCCCUCCUGCCUCCGUGAGUAGCCCGGGUGUCGCGCUGAGCUCUGCCAGCGGCUGCAGGCACGUCCCGAGCCCUCCUUGCCCCGGGGCUCCAGGCGAGCCCCCCGCCAUGGGCUCUGCCCCUGCAGGGAUCUGCCUGCGCGGCCGCAUCCAGCUCAGCGAGCGGGACAUCGCCGGCAAGUGCUCCUCGUCCUGCGGCAGCCAGGAGCACCUGGGAGCCUUCCUCAACCGCGGCUGCAUCAAGAUCUCAGCCUGUGUCACCAAACUCUCGGGCUGGCCCCGCUGGUUCCAGCGCUGUGACAUCUGCGAGUGCGACUGCCACGUGCCCUGCGGUUCCUCCAGGUAGAGCUGGGCCACCCGGCGCUGUGCUCGUGUCUCCAUCGCUGUGCUCUGUCAUCCGAGAGGGGAAGAGAUGUUCUGCACUCGCUCUUGCAGGGCUGGCUCGUCCCAGGACUCUCCAGGGCAGGGGAUGCUCUGGGAGCAGCCUGUGCUGGGAUCUGUGUGUGUUUCCUGCAGCUGGGUUUGGGGACAGUGGUGGCAGCACCCGUUUCCCUGGCUGCUUCCCACAGGAGCCUCAGAUCCCUUUUAGGGGGGAGGCAGCACCUGUGCCUGUUACAAAAUACCUGUCCUUCAGUGCUGCAGGUUGGGAUUUCUCCCUGUCAGGUAAUUCCAGCUGAGAGGUGGAGCUGCCCUCUGAGCUUGCUGAGGCCAGCAGGAGUGUGACAUCUGCCUCCUGUCCCCAUGCCACAGACAGAGCAGCCCGGCCAGGGCUGCAGCACCCACUGCUGAGGGGUCCAGUGGGUCAAACUUCCCAGCAGCCUCCCUGGGAGUGCAGAGUGGAGAAAGGUCUCAUCUCCCAGGUGGAAAAUCUUUCCUAUGGGCUGCUCCAUCCACUGGUCCUGCUCCUUCCAGGGGAUCUGUGGUCCUGCCCUAAGUGCCCCUUUCCCCAGGGGCUUCUCCUCACAGCAGCUUGGGGCCACAAAGGGAGAGAUUUGGCUCCAACCAGGAACACCUCUGUGCCCCUUGAGGACAUCUCUGGCUCCUUAGGAAGCAGCCAUGGAAGCAGCUUUAUUCCCCCAGGGAAGGAGAGGGUGGUCUGGAGCACGUGAUGGCAUUGCUGGGGACGCUGGAGGACCAGCCAUGGGUCAUUAAAAAUAUAUUUGCAGGGAAUCACACAGCUUUUCCUAUCAUGCAGAGGUUCUGCUGCCUGCUCUGUCCCUGCAGCCCUGAACACAGAUGACAAAACCAGGACAGGCUCCCUCUGUCACUGUCCUGAGCAAGUGAGCCACCACGGGGACAUGGCUAUGGACAAGGCCACUUUGGGAAGGUCCCAGCUGGGGUUU
Cyanistes caeruleus (blue tit) is the source of this 1583-nucleotide long non-coding RNA. Lineage: Eukaryota; Metazoa; Chordata; Aves; Passeriformes; Paridae. The record is from Ensembl.